This 414-nucleotide ribosomal RNA is filed under the name uncultured bacterium. RNAcentral describes it as "bacterial SSU rRNA". It matches the Rfam family "Bacterial small subunit ribosomal RNA", at positions 96 to 524 of the family's 1533-position model. The record is from RNAcentral.
UGGCGGACGGGUGAGUAACACGUGGGUGAUCUGCCCUGCACUUUGGGAUAAGCCUGGGAAACUGGGUCUAAUACCGAAUAGGACCGCGCUCUUCAUGGGGUGUGGUGGAAAGCUUUUGCGGUGUGGGAUGGGCCCGCGGCCUAUCAGCUUGUUGGUGGGGUAAUGGCCUACCAAGGCGACGACGGGUAGCCGGCCUGAGAGGGUGACCGGCCACACUGGGACUGAGAUACGGCCCAGACUCCUACGGGAGGCAGCAGUGGGGAAUAUUGCACAAUGGGCGCAAGCCUGAUGCAGCGACGCCGCGUGAGGGAUGACGGCCUUCGGGUUGUAAACCUCUUUCAAUAGGGACGAAGCGCAAGUGACGGUACCUAUAGAAGAAGGACCGGCCAACUACGUGCCAGCAGCCGCGGUAAU